GUGAAUCAUCGAAUUUUUGAACGCAAAUUGCACUUCUUGGUAUUCCGAGAAGUACACAUGCUUGAGGGUCAGUUAAAAAAAAUCGGGCGUCGUUGAUGCUGCUAGUCUGGUGAGUCCGAUUGGAUAAGUGUGGUAUCUAACAUUAGUAUUAAGAUGUAUUGAAAUACGUACGAAUUAUAUAGUCACUAAUCAU
Molecule: unclassified non-coding RNA, 193 nt
Filed under: Gigasporaceae sp.
Lineage: Eukaryota; Fungi; Glomeromycota; Glomeromycetes; Diversisporales; Gigasporaceae
Description: partial contains 5.8S ribosomal RNA and internal transcribed spacer 2
Rfam family: 5.8S ribosomal RNA (bases 1-71)
Source: RNAcentral